GAUGAAGAACGCAGCGAAAUGCGAUAAGUAAUGUGAAUUGCAGAAUUCAGUGAAUCAUCGAAUCUUUGAACGCACAUUGCGCCCUCUGGUAUUCCGGGGGGCAUGCCUGUUCGAGCGUCAUUAUAACCACUCAAGCUCUCGCUUGGUAUUGGGGUUCGCGGUUCCGCGGCCCCUAAAAUCAGUGGCGGUGCCUGUCGGCUCUACGCGUAGUAAUACUCCUCGCGUCUGGGUCCGGUAGGUCUACUUGCCAGCAACCCCCAAUUUUUACAGGUUGACCUCGGAUCAGGUAGGGAUACCCGCUGAACUUAAGCAUAUCAAUAAGCGGAGGA
This 329-nucleotide unclassified non-coding RNA is filed under the name soil metagenome. Its description in RNAcentral is "partial contains 5.8S ribosomal RNA, internal transcribed spacer 2, and large subunit ribosomal RNA". The stretch from base 1 to 120 matches the Rfam family "5.8S ribosomal RNA", at positions 35 to 154 of the family's 154-position model. The record is from RNAcentral.